Molecule: ribosomal RNA, 433 nt
Filed under: uncultured bacterium
Lineage: Bacteria
Description: partial 16S ribosomal RNA
Rfam family: Bacterial small subunit ribosomal RNA
Source: RNAcentral
AGCGAACGCUGGCGGCAGGCCUAACACAUGCAAGUCGAACGAACUCUUCGGAGUUAGUGGCGGUCGGGUGAGUAACACGUGGUAACGUGCCUUUAGGUUCGGAAUAACUCAGGGAAACUUGUGCUAAUACCGCUUGUGCCCUUCGGGGGAAAGAUUUUUCGCCUUUAGAGCGGCCCGCGUCUGAUUCGCUGGUUGGUGAGGUACAGGCGCACCAAGGCGACGAUCAUGAGCUGGUCGGAUAGGAUGAUCAGCCACAUUGGGACUGAGACACGGCCCAAACUCCGACGGGAGGCAGCAGUGGGGAAUAUUGCGCAAUGGGGGAUAGUCUGACGAAGCCAUGCGGCGUGAAUGAGGAAGGUGGUAGGAUUGUAAAAUUCUUUCAGCGGGGACGAUAAUGACGGUACCCGGAGAAGAAGCCCCGGCUAACUUCGUG